CGCUGGCGGCGUGCCUAAUACAUGCAAGUCGAACGGCUUUUCUAUGGAAGCUUGCUUCCACUGAGAAGAUAGUGGCGAACGGGUGAGUAACACGUGGGUAACCUGCCCAUAAGAGGGGGGAUAACAUCCGGAAACGGGUGCUAAUACCGCAUAGUUUUCUUGAUCGCAUGAUCGGGAAAGGAAAGACGGCCUUUGUGCUGUCGCUUAUGGAUGGACCCGCGGCGUAUUAGUUAGUUGGUGAGGUAACGGCUCACCAAGACGAUGAUACGUAGCCGACCUGAGAGGGUGAUCGGCCACAUUGGGACUGAGACACGGCCCAAACUCCUACGGGAGGCAGCAGUAGGGAAUCUUCCGCAAUGGACGAAAGUCUGACGGAGCAACGCCGCGUGAGUGAAGAAGGUUUUUCCGGAUCGUAAAACUCUGUUGUCAGAGAAGAACAAGUUGGAGAGUAACUGCUCCAGCCUUGACGGUAUCUGACCAGAAAGCCACGGCUAACUACGUGCCAGCAGCAGC
Molecule: ribosomal RNA, 513 nt
Filed under: uncultured bacterium
Lineage: Bacteria
Description: bacterial SSU rRNA
Rfam family: Bacterial small subunit ribosomal RNA
Source: RNAcentral